GACGAACGCUGGCGGCGUGCUUAACACAUGCAAGUCGAACGGAAAGGCCCUGCUUUUGUGGGGUGCUCGAGUGGCGAACGGGUGAGUAACACGUGAGUAACCUGCCCUUGACUUUGGGAUAACUUCAGGAAACUGGGGCUAAUACCAGAUAGGAGCUCCUGCUGCAUGGUGGGGGUUGGAAAGUUUCGGCGGUUGGGGAUGGACUCGCGGCUUAUCAGCUUGUUGGUGGGGUAGUGGCUUACCAAGGCUUUGACGGGUAGCCGGCCUGAGAGGGUGACCGGCCACAUUGGGACUGAGAUACGGCCCAGACUCCUACGGGAGGCAGCAGUGGGGAGUAUUGCACAAUGGGCGGAAGCCUGAUGCAGCAACGCCGCGUGCGGGAUGACGGCCUUCGGGUUGUAAACCGCUUUCGCCUGUGACGAAGCGUGAGUGACGGUAAUGGGUAAAGAAGCACCGGCUAACUACGUG
Molecule: ribosomal RNA, 468 nt
Filed under: uncultured bacterium
Lineage: Bacteria
Description: partial 16S ribosomal RNA
Rfam family: Bacterial small subunit ribosomal RNA
Source: RNAcentral